CAGUCGCCGCGGGAAUACGUAGGGUGCAAGCGUUAAUCGGAAUUACUGGGCGUAAAGCGUGCGCAGGCGGUCCGCUAAGACAGAUGUGAAAUCCCCGGGCUUAACCUGGGAACUGCAUUUGUGACUGGCGGGCUAGAGUAUGGCAGAGGGGGGUAGAAUUCCACGUGUAGCAGUGAAAUGCGUAGAGAUGUGGAGGAAUACCGAUGGCGAAGGCAGCCCCCUGGGCCAAUACUGACGCUCAUGCACGAAAGCGUGGGGAGCAAUCAGGAUUAGAUACCCCUGUAGUCCCUGUCUCUUAUAC
Molecule: ribosomal RNA, 301 nt
Filed under: uncultured bacterium
Lineage: Bacteria
Description: partial 16S ribosomal RNA
Rfam family: Bacterial small subunit ribosomal RNA
Source: RNAcentral